CCUAAAGAAAUAGAGGCAAGUGAAAAUAAUAAAAAAAAAUUAAAGGCGACAAAAUGACAAAAGAGCGGAUAAUGAAGUAAUUGUGUUAUAUUAUUUGUUUCUCUUCUCUUUCUUUCCGCUGAUUGACAACACACACAAACAACCAUAGGCCUCUUAUUUCUUUGUCCCACCAAUGAAGCACACAGUCUUAUCUUCACUGCCUCUCUUUUGCCGAUCUUCUCCUCAUCUUUCCCCAGGUACGUGAGAUUAUCUUGUUUUGAAGAAGAAACAACUUAUAUAUUUGAGUUCUUUAGAAUUAGAUAUUUGUUUCCCUAUGUAAUUCUAAUUAAGUAGAAUUUAUAUUGUAAUAUGAUUUUGGAAGACUAAACUACACUAAAUAUUAAAUUUUUGCUCAAGAAAUUAAUAAAAAUUUAUUUAAAUUAUUUUA
Long non-coding RNA from Humulus lupulus (European hop), 427 nucleotides. RefSeq lists it as uncharacterized. The record is from RefSeq and is a predicted model, not a curated record. NCBI's taxonomy places the organism in Eukaryota, Viridiplantae, Streptophyta, Magnoliopsida, Rosales, Cannabaceae. The transcript has 2 exons.